Molecule: long non-coding RNA, 352 nt
Organism: Austrofundulus limnaeus
Lineage: Eukaryota; Metazoa; Chordata; Actinopteri; Cyprinodontiformes; Rivulidae
Exons: 2
Source: RefSeq, a predicted model, not a curated record
CAGGUUGGACACCAGGUUGGACACAGAAACAGGUUGGACACAGAAACAGGUUGGACACCAGGUUGGACACACUACCUGCUUGUUGAGAUAGAGGCGCAGACCCGUUGUCAGGAAUUUGCCCAGGACAUCAUAGACUCUCCUUCAAAAAGCCAAAUGUUUCUGGUUAGGUGAGGUUCAUGACAGUGAAGGAAGAUGACCUACAUCAAGGUUAUUCAACUGGCAGCCCACCAAUGAGCUCCCCACAAACACCAAAAUAUACUUCAUUUAAUCUGAAAAUACAUUCUACAUCCAUUUUUAAUUUAUUAUUCAAUGCCAAACAAACCAAUUAAAGGUAAAAGAUUCAAAGGUAAAA